RNAcentral lists this ribosomal RNA (1478 nucleotides) under metagenome. Its description in RNAcentral is "bacterial SSU rRNA". It matches the Rfam family "Bacterial small subunit ribosomal RNA". The record is from RNAcentral.
AGAGUUUGAUCAUGGCUCAGGACGAACGCUGGCGGCGUGCUUAACACAUGCAAGUCGAACGAUGAAGUUAUGACGGAGGCUUCGGCCGACAGAAUAAUGGAAUAGUGGCGGACGGGUGAGUAACGCGUGAGUAACCUGCCUUUCAGAGAGGAAUAACAUUUGGAAACGAAUGGUAAUACCACAUAACAUUACGUUCUCGCAUGGGGAUGUAAUCAAAGGUUUUAUCGCUGAGAGAUGGACUCGCGUCCGAUUAGCUGGAUGGUGAGGUAACGGCCCACCAUGGCGACGAUCGGUAGCCGGACUGAGAGGUUGAACGGCCACAUUGGGACUGAGACACGGCCCAGACUCCUACGGGAGGCAGCAGUGGGGAAUAUUGCACAAUGGGGGAAACCCUGAUGCAGCAACGCCGCGUGAAGGAAGACGGUCUUCGGAUUGUAAACUUUUGUUCUUGGUGAAGAAAAAUGACGGUAGCCAAGGAGGAAGCCACGGCUAACUACGUGCCAGCAGCCGCGGUAAUACGUAGGUGGCAAGCGUUGUCCGGAAUUACUGGGUGUAAAGGGAGCGCAGGCGGGAAAUCAAGUUGGAUGUGAAAUGUCGGGGCUUAACCCCGGAACUGCAUCCAAAACUGAUAUUCUUGAGUGAAGUAGAGGUAGGCGGAAUUCCGAGUGUAGCGGUGAAAUGCGUAGAUAUUCGGAGGAACACCAGUGGCGAAGGCGGCCUACUGGGCUUUAACUGACGCUGAGGCUCGAAAGUGUGGGGAGCAAACAGGAUUAGAUACCCUGGUAGUCCGCGCGGUAAACGAUGGAUGCCCGCUGUUGGGCCAACUGGUUCAGCGGCCAAGCGAAAGCAUUAAGCAUCCCACCUGGGGAGUACGCCGGCAACGGUGAAACUCAAAGGAAUUGACGGGGGCCCGCACAAGCGGAGGAACAUGUGGUUUAAUUCGAUGAUACGCGAGGAACCUUACCCGGGCUUGAAUUGCAGAGGAAGGAUUUGGAGACAAUGACGCCCUUCGGGGCCUCUGUGAAGGUGCUGCAUGGUUGUCGUCAGCUCGUGCCGUGAGGUGUCGGCUUAAGUGCCAUAACGAGCGCAACCCCUCUCCAUAGUUGCCAUCAGGUGAAGCUGGGCACUCUGUGGACACUGCCACCGUAAGGUGCGAGGAAGGUGGGGAUGACGUCAAAUCAGCACGGCCCUUACGUCCGGGGCUACACACGUGUUACAAUGGCAGGUACAGGGAGCCGGUCGUAUGCAAAUACGAUCCAAUCCUUAAGGCCUGUCUCAGUUCGGACUGGGGUCUGCAACCCGACCCCACGAAGCUGGAUUCGCUAGUAAUCGCGCAUCAGCCAUGGCGCGGUGAAUACGUUCCCGGGCCUUGUACACACCGCCCGUCAAGCCAUGAAAGCCGGGGGCGCCUGAAGUCCGUGACCGCAAGGAGCGGCCUAGGGCGAAACUGGUAAUUGGGGCUAAGUCGUAACAAGGUA